Molecule: long non-coding RNA, 1219 nt
Filed under: Cyanistes caeruleus (blue tit)
Lineage: Eukaryota; Metazoa; Chordata; Aves; Passeriformes; Paridae
Description: lncRNA (ENSCCEG00000004028.1)
Source: RNAcentral
ACAUCCCCAAAACAUCCCAAAAAUACAGCUGGGACCCAAAAACACCCCAAAAACACACCUGAGUCACCCCAAAACAUCCAAAAAACACCCCAAAAAUACACCUGAGUCACCCCAAAACAUCCAAAAACACCCCAAAAAUACACCUGAGUCACCCCAAAACCACCCCAAAACAUCCCAAAAUCACAGCUGGGACCCAAAAACACCCCAAAAACACAGCUGAGUCACCCUAAAACAUCCAGAAACACCCCAAAAACACACUUGAGUCACCCCAAAACACCCCAAAUACCCCAAAAACACACCUGAGUUACCCCAAAACCACCCGAAAACAUCCCAAAAACACAGCUGGGACCCAAAAACAUCCCCAAAACAUCCCAAAAAUACAACUGGGACCCAAAAACACCCCAAAAACACACCUGAGUCACCCCAGAACAUCCAAAAACAUCCCAAAAACACACCUGAGUCACCCCAAAACAUCCCCAAAAAAAUCCCAAAUCCCCCCAAAAAACCAAAAAAUACCCCCAAAAAUUCCCCAAAAAAUAAAAAAAAAACACCCCAAAAAAAUCCCCAAAAAACCCCAAAAAUCCCCAAAAAACCCCCAAAAAUCCCAAAAAACCCCCCCAAAAAUCCCAAAAAACCCCAAAAAAUCCCAAAUAAAUUCCCAAAAAAAUUCCAAAAAACCCCUGAAAAAACCCCAAAAAUUCCCAAAAAACCCCCCCAAAAAAUCCAAAAAAAUUCCAAAAAAAACCCCCAAAAAAUCCAAAAAAAAAUCCCAAAAAAUCCCCCAAAAAUCCCCCAAAAUACACCAAAAAAUCAAAAAAAAAUCCCAAAAAAUUCCCCAAAAAAUCCCAAAAAAUCCCAAAAAAUCCCAAAAAACCCCCAAAAAAACCCAAAAAAAUUCCCCAAAAAAUCCCCAAAAAUCCCCCAAAAAUUCCAAAAAUUCCAAAAAAAUCCCAAACACCCCCAAAUCCCCCCAAAUCCCCCCAAACCCCGGUACCUGUUUGUAGAGGCAGAGCAGGGCGCACACCAGGCUGAUGUCAGCCAGGCUCACCCUCCUGGAACACCCCAAAAACCCCAAAACCCCCCCCAAAAAAACCUCCAAAAACACAAAAAAAUCCCCAAAAAAACCCCCCAAAAAUACACCAAAAAAAUCCCAAAAAAACCCCAAAAAAUCACAAAAAAAUCCCAAAAAAUCCCAAAAAAACCCCAAAAAAUACACCAA